GCCUGGAGGGCUCAGUCGGUAGAGCAUGUGACUCUUGAUCUCGGGGUUGUGAGUUUGAACCCCAUUUUGGCCG
Molecule: transfer RNA, 73 nt
Filed under: Felis catus (domestic cat)
Lineage: Eukaryota; Metazoa; Chordata; Mammalia; Carnivora; Felidae
Rfam family: tRNA
About the family: Transfer RNA (tRNA) molecules are approximately 80 nucleotides in length. Their secondary structure includes four short double-helical elements and three loops (D, anti-codon, and T loops).
Source: Rfam by way of RNAcentral